UUCUGGCUCAGGAUGAACGCUGGCGGCGUGCCUAACACAUGCAAGUCGAACGAAGCAUAUCGGACGGAGAUUCGUCGAAGCCUGGUAUGACUUAGUGGCGGACGGGUGAGUAAUGUAUGAGCAACCUGCCUUUCAGAGGGGGACAACAGUUGGAAACGACUGCUAAUACCGCAUAACAUACGAGGAGGACAUCCACUUCGUAUCAAAGGAGCAAUCCGCUGAAAGAUGGGCUCAUAUCUGAUUAGCUUGUUGGCGGGGUAACGGCCCACCAAGGCGACGAUCAGUAGCCGGACUGAGAGGUUGAACGGCCACAUUGGGACUGAGAUACGGCCCAGACUCCUACGGGAGGCAGCAGUGGGGAAUAUUGGGCAAUGGGCGAAAGCCUCGACCCAGCAACGCCGCGUGAAGGAAGAAGGUCUUCGGAUUGUAAACUUCUUUUAUGAGGGACGAAGGACGUGACGGUACCUCAUGAAUAAGCCACGGCUAACUACGUGCCAGCCGCAGC
This 505-nucleotide ribosomal RNA is filed under the name uncultured bacterium. RNAcentral describes it as "bacterial SSU rRNA". It matches the Rfam family "Bacterial small subunit ribosomal RNA", at positions 17 to 518 of the family's 1533-position model. The record is from RNAcentral.